This 1314-nucleotide ribosomal RNA is filed under the name Bacillus sp. (in: firmicutes). RNAcentral describes it as "bacterial SSU rRNA". It matches the Rfam family "Bacterial small subunit ribosomal RNA", at positions 56 to 1353 of the family's 1533-position model. The record is from RNAcentral. Lineage: Bacteria; Bacillati; Bacillota; Bacilli; Caryophanales; Bacillaceae.
UGCAAGUCGAGCGGACAGAUGGGAGCUUGCUCCCUGAUGUUAGCGGCGGACGGGUGAGUAACACGUGGGUAACCUGCCUGUAAGACUGGGAUAACUCCGGGAAACCGGGGCUAAUACCGGAUGGUUGUUUGAACCGCAUGGUUCAAACAUAAAAGGUGGCUUCGGCUACCACUUACAGAUGGACCCGCGGCGCAUUAGCUAGUUGGUGAGGUAACGGCUCACCAAGGCAACGAUGCGUAGCCGACCUGAGAGGGUGAUCGGCCACACUGGGACUGAGACACGGCCCAGACUCCUACGGGAGGCAGCAGUAGGGAAUCUUCCGCAAUGGACGAAAGUCUGACGGAGCAACGCCGCGUGAGUGAUGAAGGUUUUCGGAUCGUAAAGCUCUGUUGUUAGGGAAGAACAAGUACCGUUCGAAUAGGGCGGUACCUUGACGGUACCUAACCAGAAAGCCACGGCUAACUACGUGCCAGCAGCCGCGGUAAUACGUAGGUGGCAAGCGUUGUCCGGAAUUAUUGGGCGUAAAGGGCUCGCAGGCGGUUUCUUAAGUCUGAUGUGAAAGCCCCCGGCUCAACCGGGGAGGGUCAUUGGAAACUGGGGAACUUGAGUGCAGAAGAGGAGAGUGGAAUUCCACGUGUAGCGGUGAAAUGCGUAGAGAUGUGGAGGAACACCAGUGGCGAAGGCGACUCUCUGGUCUGUAACUGACGCUGAGGAGCGAAAGCGUGGGGAGCGAACAGGAUUAGAUACCCUGGUAGUCCACGCCGUAAACGAUGAGUGCUAAGUGUUAGGGGGUUUCCGCCCCUUAGUGCUGCAGCUAACGCAUUAAGCACUCCGCCUGGGGAGUACGGUCGCAAGACUGAAACUCAAAGGAAUUGACGGGGGCCCGCACAAGCGGUGGAGCAUGUGGUUUAAUUCGAAGCAACGCGAAGAACCUUACCAGGUCUUGACAUCCUCUGACAAUCCUAGAGAUAGGACGUCCCCUUCGGGGGCAGAGUGACAGGUGGUGCAUGGUUGUCGUCAGCUCGUGUCGUGAGAUGUUGGGUUAAGUCCCGCAACGAGCGCAACCCUUGAUCUUAGUUGCCAGCAUUCAGUUGGGCACUCUAAGGUGACUGCCGGUGACAAACCGGAGGAAGGUGGGGAUGACGUCAAAUCAUCAUGCCCCUUAUGACCUGGGCUACACACGUGCUACAAUGGACAGAACAAAGGGCAGCGAAACCGCGAGGUUAAGCCAAUCCCACAAAUCUGUUCUCAGUUCGGAUCGCAGUCUGCAACUCGACUGCGUGAAGCCGGAAUCGCUAGUAAUCGCGGAUCAGC